GAGUUUGAUCCUGGCUCAGGAUAAACGCUGGCGGCGCACAUAAGACAUGCAAGUCGAACGGAAGUCGUUAUGAUGAUUUCAACACUGACAGAGAACUUGUUCAAAGAAAGUAGAGAUUGACUUAUAACAAUGGCUUUAGUGGCGGACUGGUGAGUAACACGUGAGCAACCUGCCUAUCAGAGGGGAAUAACAGUGAGAAAUCAUUGCUAAUACCGCAUAUGCCAUAAAUAUCACAUGAUAAAAGUGGGAAAGGAGUAAUCCGCUGAUAGAUGGGCUCGCGUCUGAUUAGAUAGUUGGUGGGGUAACGGCCUACCAAGUCGACGAUCAGUAGCCGGACUGAGAGGUUGAACGGCCACAUUGGGACUGAGACACGGCCCAGACUCCUACGGGAGGCAGCAGUGGGGAAUAUUGCACAAUGGAGGAAACUCUGAUGCAGCGACGCCGCGUGAGGGAAGAAGGUCUUCGGAUUGUAAACCUCUGUUGUCAGGGACGAUGAUGACGGUACCUGACGAGGAAGCCACGGCUAACUACGUGCCAGCCGCCGCGGUAAUAC
RNAcentral lists this ribosomal RNA (553 nucleotides) under uncultured bacterium. Its description in RNAcentral is "bacterial SSU rRNA". It matches the Rfam family "Bacterial small subunit ribosomal RNA", at positions 9 to 526 of the family's 1533-position model. The record is from RNAcentral.